This 27-nucleotide non-coding RNA is filed under the name Cricetulus griseus (Chinese hamster). Lineage: Eukaryota; Metazoa; Chordata; Mammalia; Rodentia; Cricetidae. The record is from RNAcentral.
CUGGUCUACAAGAGCUAGUUCCACGAC